UGCGUAGGCGGUUUGUUAAGUCGGAUGUGAAAGCCCUGGGCUCAACCUGGGAACUGCAUUCGAUACUGAUCGACUAGAGUACGAGAGAGGGAGGUAGAAUUCCACGUGUAGCGGUGAAAUGCGUAGAUAUGUGGAGGAAUACCGGUGGCGAAGGCGGCCUCCUGGCUCGAUACUGACGCUGAGGUGCGAAAGCGUGGGUAGCAAACAGGAUUAGAUACCCUGGUAGUCC
This 229-nucleotide ribosomal RNA is filed under the name uncultured bacterium. RNAcentral's name for it is "partial 16S ribosomal RNA". It matches the Rfam family "Bacterial small subunit ribosomal RNA", at positions 568 to 796 of the family's 1533-position model. The record is from RNAcentral.